This 253-nucleotide ribosomal RNA is filed under the name uncultured bacterium. RNAcentral describes it as "partial 16S ribosomal RNA". It matches the Rfam family "Bacterial small subunit ribosomal RNA", at positions 524 to 776 of the family's 1533-position model. The record is from RNAcentral.
UACGUAGGGGGCAAGCGUUGUCCGGAAUCAUUGGGCGUAAAGGGCGCGUAGGUGGUUCUGUAUGUCUAUCGUGAAAGCGUACGGCUCAACCGUAUUUUGGCGGUAGAAACUGCAGGACUUGAGGCUGGGAGGGGCUGGUGGAAUUCCCUGUGUAGCGGUGAAAUGCGUAGAGAUGGGGGAGAACACUCGUGGCGAAGGCGGCCAGCUAGACCAGUUCUGACACUGAGGCGCGACAGCGUGGGGAGCAAACAGG